UACGUAGGGGGCUAGCGUUAUCCGGAAUUACUGGGCGUAAAGGGUGCGUAGGUGGUUUCUUAAGUCAGAGGUGAAAGGCUACGGCUCAACCGUAGUAAGCCUUUGAAACUGGGAAACUUGAGUGCAGGAGAGGAGAGUGGAAUUCCUAGUGUAGCGGUGAAAUGCGUAGAUAUUAGGAGGAAUACCAGUUGCGAAGGCGGCUCUCUGGACUGUAACUGACACUGAGGCACGAAAGCGUGGGGAGCAAACAGGAUUAGAUACCCCCGUAGUCCCUGAGCGGGCU
This 283-nucleotide ribosomal RNA is filed under the name uncultured prokaryote. Its description in RNAcentral is "partial 16S ribosomal RNA". It matches the Rfam family "Bacterial small subunit ribosomal RNA", at positions 524 to 817 of the family's 1533-position model. The record is from RNAcentral.